AUUGAAACUAAGACAAGGAUUAGUAAAGAAUGACCUGUUUUUAUAGAGAGAGAAUUGAUUGGUGGAAGAUUCUCAUUAACAGCUUCUUGAACCUACCUUCGAGUUCGUCAUUGAAAAAUGGCGCGGCGACAGUCGUUAACAUGUUUGAGAGUAAAGCUUCGCUUUAAAUAAGGGUGGUACCGCCGUAAUGGGUCCCUUAU
This 200-nucleotide non-coding RNA is filed under the name Viridibacillus arenosi. Its description in RNAcentral is "T-box sequence". It matches the Rfam family "T-box leader". Rfam says of the family: Uncharged tRNA acts as the effector for transcription antitermination of genes in the T-box leader family. T-boxes are found upstream of many aminoacyl-tRNA synthetase genes and some amino acid biosynthetic genes usually in Gram-positive bacteria. The anticodon of a specific tRNA base pairs to a specifier sequence within the T-box motif, and the NCCA acceptor tail of the tRNA base pairs to a conserved bulge in the T-box antiterminator hairpin. Lineage: Bacteria; Bacillati; Bacillota; Bacilli; Caryophanales; Caryophanaceae. The record is from RNAcentral.